CUUCCAUCCUUUGUGGCUCCCGUCCUUAUCCGCAGACCCAGGCCAGCACGCUUCUUCCUUGCCGUUACGCUCCUCCAGCGCCGCAUGAAGCUGAAGCCCCCACCGGCCACCGCGUUGUCCUACUGCUUCGCUCCGGCCGUGUAGCGCGAGGCCCCACCGCUCCUCUGCUGCUUCACUCCAAGCCUGCCGCGCGAGGCCCUCGCUGCCCUGCUCCAUCGCCAUCGUGUGCUGCUUCUCCACCGCCCUUCGCUAUUGCAGGUGCGCCUCCCCCUUCCUCAACGUUGUAGGGGCGCCGCUGCCUUCCCCGGCGCGCGCCAUCGACGAGCAAGGUCUGGGUUGGGGCAUUUUCGCCCAGUACGACAGGAGAUUGGGGUGAAGCCGCGGAAAGCCACAUUUUUCGGCUUCGCCCGUCCAGUGUAAGCCGUUUCGUAAUUUUUAUCUGGCUUCGUUGGUGAAGCCAUUUUGAGCGUACCCCUUUGGCAGGGCUUCACCGGAAGCCGAUGGUGAAGCCGGUGAAAAAGCCCUGCCAAAGAGGGCCUCAGUAUGAUCAUCGCGCAGUUCAAUAAUAGAACCAUCUUACAAGUACACUAAAACUUAGAAAGAGAAGACAAUACCUAGAGAGUUCAGAACAUUGCAAUUGAUAUCAAGGAUGCUCUGUACAACGUUAAGUGUUGUUUAGCUUAGUCUCGCUGGCCUAUGUUCCUGGGUAAAGACCAAAAUAGGCGUGUCCAGAAGAAAGAAAUUGGCUAGCCACCUAAUCCUAGUGUCCGCCGUACUCCAUGAGAUGCUUCCGUACCCCCCUAUCCUACAGAAAAUACAAUAUUCUUUCGUACCAUUUCAUCUGUUCUGCCACUCUGUCGCUAGUGUUGCUGGCUCACGAGGUCGAUAAAUUUUAUGUUUUUUUAUACUCUUUGUUAAGAGGUUCCUCGAUGUGAUCUUGUUGCGUGUGGGUCCCUUCUUGCAUUAUGUGAACAACUAACUGACAGUUGUUGAUCGAAACAGGCUGCAGAAACAGCAGAAUUCAUGGAAGAACUGCUAGCUGUCUGUGCUGCUGUUUGACUAAUUUUCAUCUAAAAAAAUGUUGAACACUUUCGACGAAGCUUCUCUGGUUACAUACAAGCUAGCUCCAAACAGAAAGAGUCAAUUGUACCACCGGUCCUCGAACUUGACUCGGUGUGCCAUUUAGAUUACCAAACUUCCAAAAUGCACAUCUAGAUCCUCAAACUUGUUAAUCGUAUCAUAUAAUGUACAAAUCACCAUUAAUUAAGUUAAAUCCCCUACAUGUCUGCUGAUGUGCAACUGACAUGCACCUCUCUUCAUCUUUUUUUGCUCCGGCCGGCUGAGCCCAUCCCCAUCAAGCCGAGUGCCGCCGUCACUGUCUGCGUGUGGGUACGCAGCCACAUCCCCGUGUCCGCCCCAACCGAGCCAGUCGCGUCCUGCCACCCCUGCCUGAGCCGAUCGCGCCCCACUGCCCCUCCUGCGGCCUUUGCACUGAGUGCUGUGCCGCCAGCCAUGGAGCACAUAGCAAGAUGCAGGUCUGGCGAGGAUGGUGGAUGCCGUUGGUCACCGCUUACCGGUCAGCAGACGGUGGAUGCCGUUGGUCACCGCUUACCGGUCAGCACCAUCUUUUGUUGGGGAAAAGGACUUCUGGAACAAACGACGGAAGCAAAGUGGCAACAUUGUGAGCUGGAGAGAGCGGAGGCGAAGUGGAGACUUCACGAGGCGAAGCCGGUAGGAGAAAAAUGGCAAUUCCCCGAGCUGGAGCGAGCAGGAGCAAAGUCGAGACUUCACAAGGCUACUUCAUGAGCAAGGUAGCCAGAGACAGCUCGGGCUGAAGCGUGGGGCACGGAGUCAAAAGGCGGCGUCAUCAAACUAGGCAACAACAAUGCGUCUAGGGAAAGGGUGAAGUGGCUGGGCCAUAUCGGAGCUGUGAGCUGGCAUGUCCUUAGCUGUAAAGUGAUGAGUUGUAAAGGGUGUGGUUAAAGUGGCGUAAUGUUACUAUAAUGCCCUCCAAUAUGCUUCACAUAAAGUGAAAAAGAAGGGUGAUGUAUUGUAACGUGUAAAAAUUAUGGUCCUAUAAAAUGGGGCCAUCGUGAAUGGAAAUGGACAUGUUACGACGGAGGGGUAGAUUUCUUAACCUCUCCCAAAGUCAUUUUCUUA
Long non-coding RNA from Setaria italica (foxtail millet), 2160 nucleotides. RefSeq lists it as uncharacterized. NCBI's taxonomy places the organism in Eukaryota, Viridiplantae, Streptophyta, Magnoliopsida, Poales, Poaceae. The transcript has 2 exons. The record is from RefSeq and is a predicted model, not a curated record.